UUAGCGUGAGAGGUGGUGGCAUGGCCGUCGUCAGUUCGUACUGUGAAGCAUCCUGUUAAGUCAGGCAACGAGCGAGACCCACGCCCACAGUUGCCAGCGUACUCUCUGGAGUGACGGGUACACUGUGGGGACCGCCGCUGCUAAAGCGGAGGAAGGAAUGGGCAACGGUAGGUCAGUAUGCCCCGAAUAUCCCGGGCUACACGCGAGCUACAAUGGUUGGUACAAUGGGUAUCUACCCGAAAGGGGACGGGAAUCUCCUAAAACCAAUCUUAGUUCGGAUUGAGGGCUGCAACUCGCCCUCAUGAAGCUGGAAUCCGUAGUAAUCGCGUUUCAACAGAACGCGGUGAAUACGUCCCUGCUCCUU
Molecule: ribosomal RNA, 364 nt
Filed under: uncultured Methanosaeta sp.
Lineage: Archaea; Methanobacteriati; Methanobacteriota; Methanomicrobia; Methanotrichales; Methanotrichaceae
Description: bacterial SSU rRNA
Rfam family: Archaeal small subunit ribosomal RNA
Source: RNAcentral